GAUGUGGCUGAUUCUGGGCCCAAAUGGGCCGGGGUGUUGCAGUGACAUUGGAAGAUAUAAAUGCUUUAAGGGAGCAAUCUCCUCGUGCCGAUGAGAAUACAUAAUUUUAGUGGGUUUGGAAACUGGAUGUUCUUAUGAGAGUGAAAAUCUUUUGGAGGAGGUUGUUAUGGUGGAAGGAUUCUUUGUAAGGAACUCUUAUGUAGACGCAAAAUUCUUCUUUUAGAACAAC
Molecule: long non-coding RNA, 229 nt
Filed under: Elaeis guineensis (African oil palm)
Lineage: Eukaryota; Viridiplantae; Streptophyta; Magnoliopsida; Arecales; Arecaceae
Description: long non-coding RNA (EGUI_LNC073994)
Source: RNAcentral